RNAcentral lists this ribosomal RNA (1184 nucleotides) under Campylobacter coli Z156. Its description in RNAcentral is "bacterial LSU rRNA". It matches the Rfam family "Bacterial large subunit ribosomal RNA", at positions 1 to 1210 of the family's 2925-position model. The record is from RNAcentral. Lineage: Bacteria; Pseudomonadati; Campylobacterota; Epsilonproteobacteria; Campylobacterales; Campylobacteraceae. RNAcentral also lists the same sequence under 1 other name.
AGCUACUAAGAGCGAAUGGUGGAUGCCUUGACUGGUAAAGGCGAUGAAGGACGUACUAGACUGCGAUAAGCUACGGGGAGCUGUCAAGAAGCUUUGAUCCGUAGAUUUCCGAAUGGGGCAACCCAAUGUAUAGAGAUAUACAUUACCUAUAUAGGAGCGAACGAGGGGAAUUGAAACAUCUUAGUACCCUCAGGAAAAGAAAUCAAUAGAGAUUGCGUCAGUAGCGGCGAGCGAAAGCGUAAGAGGGCAAACCCAGUGCUUGCACUGGGGGUUGUAGGACUGCAAUGUGCAAGAGGUGAGUUUAGCAGAACAUUCUGGAAAGUAUAGCCAUAGAGGGUGAUAGUCCCGUAUGCGAAAAACAAACCUUAGCUAGCAGUAUCCUGAGUAGGGCGGGACACGAGAAAUCCUGUCUGAAGCUGGGUCGACCACGAUCCAACCCUAAAUACUAAUACCAGAUCGAUAGUGCACAAGUACCGUGAGGGAAAGGUGAAAAGAACUGAGGUGAUCAGAGUGAAAUAGAACCUGAAACCAUUUGCUUACAAUCAUUCAGAGCACUAUGUAGCAAUACAGUGUGAUGGACUGCCUUUUGCAUAAUGAGCCUGCGAGUUGUGGUGUCUGGCAAGGUUAAGCAAACGCGAAGCCGUAGCGAAAGCGAGUCUGAAUAGGGCGCUUAGUCAGAUGCUGCAGACCCGAAACGAAGUGAUCUAUCCAUGAGCAAGUUGAAGCUAGUGUAAGAACUAGUGGAGGACUGAACCCAUAGGCGUUGAAAAGCCCCGGGAUGACUUGUGGAUAGGGGUGAAAGGCCAAUCAAACUUCGUGAUAGCUGGUUCUCUCCGAAAUAUAUUUAGGUAUAGCGUUGUGUCGUAAUAUAAGGGGGUAGAGCACUGAAUGGGCUAGGGCAUACACCAAUGUACCAAACCCUAUCAAACUCCGAAUACCUUAUAUGUAAUCACAGCAGUCAGGCGGCGAGUGAUAAAAUCCGUCGUCAAGAGGGAAACAACCCAGACUACCAGCUAAGGUCCCUAAAUCUUACUUAAGUGGAAAACGAUGUGAAGUUACUUAAACAACCAGGAGGUUGGCUUAGAAGCAGCCAUCCUUUAAAGAAAGCGUAAUAGCUCACUGGUCUAGUGAUUUUGCGCGGAAAAUAUAACGGGGCUAAAGUAAGUACCGAAGCUGUAGACUUG